CUACUGGACGCCCCAGAGUAAUGUAUCGAAUGAGACGUCCACGGCUAAAAACCUUCCAGCGCACCAUUUCAGCACAGGACACUCUAGCUUACGCCACAGCUUUACUGAAUGAGAAGGAUCAGUCCGGCAGCAGUAAUGGAUCUGACGGCAGUCCAGCCAAUGAGAACUCAGACCGAAGCCUCAGACAGGGAUCCGAAUCCCCAAUGAUGCUGGGCGACUCCCGGAGUGAUCUAGAAGACGUGGACCCAUAAGCGCAGCCGUUUGUAUGCAACAAAA
Long non-coding RNA from Danio aesculapii, 276 nucleotides. RefSeq lists it as uncharacterized. Lineage: Eukaryota; Metazoa; Chordata; Actinopteri; Cypriniformes; Danionidae. The transcript has 3 exons. The record is from RefSeq and is a predicted model, not a curated record.